Molecule: ribosomal RNA, 467 nt
Filed under: uncultured bacterium
Lineage: Bacteria
Description: bacterial SSU rRNA
Rfam family: Bacterial small subunit ribosomal RNA
Source: RNAcentral
UGGGGAAUAUUGGACAAUGGGCGAAAGCCUGAUCCAGCCAUGCCGCGUGCAGGAAGAAGGCGUUAUGCGUUGUAAACUGCUUUUUGCCAGGGGAUAAAAUGACCGUGCGCGGUUAAUUGAAGGUACCUGGUGAAUAAGCCACGGCUAACUACGUGCCAGCAGCCGCGGUAAUACGUAGGUGGCAAGCGUUGUCCGGAUUUAUUGGGUUUAAAGGGUGCGUAGGUGGCCCUGUAAGUCAGUGGUGAAAUAUCUCAGCUUAACUGAGAGGGUGCCAUUGAUACUGCAGGGCUUGAGUACAGAUGAGGUAGGCGGAAUUGACGGUGUAGCGGUGAAAUGCAUAGAUAUCGUCAAGAACACCGAUAGCGAAGGCAGCUUACCAAGCUGUAACUGACACUGAGGCACGAAAGUGUGGGGAUCAAACAGGAUUAGAUACCCCUGUAGUCCCUGAGCGGGCUGGCAAGGCGCAU